This 403-nucleotide ribosomal RNA is filed under the name Verrucomicrobiota bacterium. RNAcentral's name for it is "Verrucomicrobia bacterium partial 16S ribosomal RNA". It matches the Rfam family "Bacterial small subunit ribosomal RNA", at positions 355 to 776 of the family's 1533-position model. Lineage: Bacteria; Pseudomonadati; Verrucomicrobiota. The record is from RNAcentral.
UGGGGAAUAUUGCACAAUGGGGGAAACCCUGAUGCAGCGACGCCGCGUGAGCGAAGAAGGCUUUCGAGUCGUGAAGCUCUGUCCUAUGAGAAGAUAAUGACGGUAUCAUAGGAGGAAGCCCUGGCUAAAUACGUGCCAGCAGCCGCGGUAAUACGUAUGGGGCGAGCGUUGUCCGGAAUUAUUGGGCGUAAAGGGUACGUAGGCGGUUUUUUAAGUCAGGUGUCAAAGCGUGGAGCUUAACUCCAUUAAGCACUUGAAACUGAAAGACUUGAGUGAAGGAGAGGAAAGUGGAAUUCCUAGUGUAGCGGUGAAAUGCGUAGAUAUUAGGAGGAAUACCGGUGGCGAAGGCGACUUUCUGGACUUUUACUGACGCUCAGGUACGAAAGCGUGGGGAGCAAACAGG